Molecule: ribosomal RNA, 435 nt
Filed under: uncultured bacterium
Lineage: Bacteria
Description: partial 16S ribosomal RNA
Rfam family: Bacterial small subunit ribosomal RNA
Source: RNAcentral
AGCGAACGCUGGCGGCAGGCUUAACACAUGCAAGUCGAGCGGGCACUUUCGGGUGUCCGCGGCGGACGGGUGCGUAACGCGUGGGAACGUGCCCUCUGGUUCGGAAUAACUCAGGGAAACUUGGGCUAAUACCGGAUACGCCCUUUUGGGGAAAGGCUUGCUGCCGGAGGAUCGGCCCGCGUCUGAUUAGCUAGUUGGUGAGGUAACGGCUCACCAAGGCGACGAUCAGUAGCUGGUCUGAGAGGAUGAUCAGCCACACUGGGACUGAGACACGGCCCAGACUCCUACGGGAGGCAGCAGUGGGGAAUAUUGGACAAUGGGCGCAAGCCUGAUCCAGCCAUGCCGCGUGAGUGAUCAAGGCCUUAGGGUUGUAAAGCUCUUUUAUCCGGGACGAUAAUGACGGUACCGGAGGAAUAAGCCCCGGCUAACUUCGUG